This 414-nucleotide ribosomal RNA is filed under the name Triticum aestivum (bread wheat). RNAcentral's name for it is "partial small subunit ribosomal RNA". The record is from RNAcentral. Lineage: Eukaryota; Viridiplantae; Streptophyta; Magnoliopsida; Poales; Poaceae.
AUGCACGCUUCGAAGCUUCGGGUUCGUUCCGGAGUUGUGAGGAUUCGUUCGACUACGUCCGUUUGUCUUCUUCAUGGACUCGUUCUUCUUCCUUGCGGGAUUUCAGAUAAAAAAGACCUGAAAGUGAAAAAUGUGCUGCACUAUAACAAUCUCAUCGAAUGCCUUGAUCUUCAUAUUACAGAAAUUGAUUUGAUCGACUACCGAGGUAGCACAUCUGAGAUUAAAUUGGCCAGGUUCUUUGUUCUGGAGGCAAGUGUGCUCAAGGUAAUGAGGUUUGGCAUUCUCUUGCGCAACAAUGAAUGGCGUGAUGAUCACCGCAAGCGUCUAAGCCUAAAUGCCAAAGUCUCCACAGAAGCUAAAUUUGUUUUUGAAACAUCAAGUGGCCAGAGACUCGAAAACUUAUUUGCCCAUUAG